Long non-coding RNA from Eubalaena glacialis (North Atlantic right whale), 345 nucleotides. RefSeq lists it as uncharacterized. The record is from RefSeq and is a predicted model, not a curated record. The transcript is spliced from 3 exons. NCBI's taxonomy places the organism in Eukaryota, Metazoa, Chordata, Mammalia, Artiodactyla, Balaenidae.
AAUGGAAUAUUAGUCAGCCAUAAUAAAGAAUGAAAUAAUGCCAUUUGCAACAACAUGAAUGGACCUAGAGAUUAUCAUACUAAGUGAAUCUCCGCUCACCAUCCUCAGGAGACAUAGCUGGCCCUUUAUGUCAUCAUGGCCCGUGUACAUCAUCAUGGCAACCAUCUCUGCCAGUGGACCUCGAGGCAUGUCUGAACUGCCAUCACAAGCUUUCUUUGUCACUGAUUUAUAGCAUCAGCCCAAAUAAUCAUCUGGCCUGCAUCCUGGCAAGAAGAAAAAGAUACACGGGGUGGUUAACAAGAAGGUAAUGUGUGUGAGUAUUUAGGUAGUAGCUAAUUAUUUUCU